Molecule: ribosomal RNA, 236 nt
Filed under: uncultured bacterium
Lineage: Bacteria
Description: partial 16S ribosomal RNA
Rfam family: Bacterial small subunit ribosomal RNA
Source: RNAcentral
CGAACGGGUGAGUAUCACGUGAGAAACCUGCCCCCUAGACCGGGAUAGCCCGAGGAAACUCGGAUUAAUACCGGAUACUCUCAUGAGACCGCAUGGUCUUUUGAGGAAACAGUCCGCUGCUAGGGGAUGGUCUCGCGGCCUAUCAGGUAGUUGGUGAGGUAACGGCCCACCAAGCCUAAGACGGGUAGCUGGUCUGAGAGGACGAUCAGCCACACUGGAACUGAGAUACGGUCCAG